This 208-nucleotide ribosomal RNA is filed under the name Eutreptiella gymnastica. Its description in RNAcentral is "partial Bacterial large subunit ribosomal RNA". It matches the Rfam family "Bacterial large subunit ribosomal RNA", at positions 1966 to 2173 of the family's 2925-position model. The record is from RNAcentral. Lineage: Eukaryota; Euglenozoa; Euglenophyceae; Eutreptiales; Eutreptiaceae.
UCCUUGUCGGGUAAGUUCCGACCUGCACGAAUGGUGUAACCAUGGCCACGCUGUCUCCACCCGAGACUCAGUGAAAUUGAAAUCGCAGUGAAGAUGCUGUGUACCCGCACCUAGACGGAAAGACCCCGUGAACCUUUACUACAGCUUGGCACUGAACAUUGAACCUACAUGUGUAGGAUAGGUGGGAGGCUUUGAAGCAGCGGCGCCA